Molecule: ribosomal RNA, 497 nt
Filed under: uncultured bacterium
Lineage: Bacteria
Description: partial 16S ribosomal RNA
Rfam family: Bacterial small subunit ribosomal RNA
Source: RNAcentral
GAUGAACGCUGGCGGCGUGCCUAAUACAUGCAAGUCGAGCGAACAGACGAUGAGCUUGCUCCUCUGACGUUAGCGGCGGACGGGCGAGUAACACGUGGAUAACCAACUUAUAAGACUGGGAUAACUACGGGAAGCAGGUGCCACUACCAGAUAAUACAUUCUACGGCAUGGUUCAAUAGUUAUUGACGCCUUUGCCGUCACUAUUAGAUGGAUCCGGGUCGCAUUAGCUAGUUGGUAAGGUAACGGCCUACCAAGGCAACGAUGCGUAGCCGACCUGAGAGGGUGAUCGGCCACACUGGAACUGAGACACGGUCCAGACUCCUACGGGAGGCAGCAGUAGGGAAUAUUGCGCAAUGGGCGAAAGCCUGACCGAGCCAUACCGCGUGGGUGAAGAAGGCCUUCGGGUUGUAAAACCCUUUUAUUGGGGAAGAAAAACAGUAGGAGUAACUAUGCCCGUCUUGACGGUACCUAAACAGAAAGCCACGGCUAACUACGUG